This 105-nucleotide ribosomal RNA is filed under the name Erinaceus europaeus (western European hedgehog). The record is from RNAcentral. Lineage: Eukaryota; Metazoa; Chordata; Mammalia; Eulipotyphla; Erinaceidae.
GUCUACAGCUAUACCACUCUGAAUUUGUCCAGUUUUGUCUGAUCUUGGAAGCUAAGCAGGAUUGGGCCUAGUUAUUACUUGGAUAGGAAGAAGAACUUGUACAAU